RNAcentral lists this ribosomal RNA (301 nucleotides) under uncultured bacterium. RNAcentral describes it as "partial 16S ribosomal RNA". It matches the Rfam family "Bacterial small subunit ribosomal RNA", at positions 509 to 807 of the family's 1533-position model. The record is from RNAcentral.
CAGUAGCCGCGGUAAUACGAAGGGUGCAAGCGUUAAUCGGAAUUACUGGGCGUAAAGCGUGCGUAGGCGGUGAGUUAAGUCUGCUGUGAAAUCCCCGGGCUCAACCUGGGAAUGGCAGUGGAUACUGGCUCGCUAGAGUGUGUCAGAGGAUGGUGGAAUUCCCGGUGUAGCGGUGAAGUGCGUAGAGAUCGGGAGGAACAUCAGUGGCGAAGGCGGCCAUCUGGGACAACACUGACGCUGAGGCACGAAAGCGUGGGGAGCAAACAGGAUUAGAUACCCCCGUAGUCCCUGUCUCUUAUAC